RNAcentral lists this ribosomal RNA (365 nucleotides) under uncultured prokaryote. RNAcentral's name for it is "bacterial SSU rRNA". It matches the Rfam family "Archaeal small subunit ribosomal RNA", at positions 1 to 344 of the family's 1478-position model. The record is from RNAcentral.
UCCGGUUGAUCCUGCCGGACUCCACUGCUAUCGGGGUAAGGCUAAGCCAUGCAAGUCGAAGGCCUCCGGCUCCGGGGGCCUGGCGUACGGCUGAGUAACGCGUGGCCAACCUGCCCUGCGGAGGGGGAUAACCCCGGGAAACUGGGGAUAAACCCCCAUAGGUGACCGGGUCUGGAAGGACCGGUCGCCGAAAGUCCCGGUCGGGGAUGCUCCGGCCGGGAGCCGCAGGAUGGGGCUGCGUCCUAUCAGGUAGUUGGUGGGGUAACGGCCCACCAAGCCUGUGACGGGUAGGGGCCCUGAGAGGGGGAGCCCCCAGAUGGACUCUGAGACAAGAGUCCAGGCCCUACGGGGCGCAGCAGGCGCGA